UAUGUACUCCCUCCAUUCAGAAUUACUUGUCGCUCAAAAGGAUGUAUCUAAUACUAUUUUAGUGCUAGAUACAUCCAUUUGAGCGACAACUAAUUCGGGACGGAGGGAGUAAUAU
This is a non-coding RNA of Triticum aestivum (bread wheat), 115 nucleotides long. NCBI's taxonomy places the organism in Eukaryota, Viridiplantae, Streptophyta, Magnoliopsida, Poales, Poaceae. The record is from Rfam.